GAUGAAGAACGUAGCGAAAUGCGAUACUUGGUGUGAAUUGCAGAAUCCCGUGAACCAUCGAGUUUUUGAACGCAAGUUGCGCCCGAAGCCAUCAGGUUGAGGGCACGUCUGCCUGGGCGUCACAUAUCGUUGCUCGAUGCCUAUCGCAUUGCGAUAGGACUUAGGGCGAAUGAUGGCUUCCCGUGAGCGUUGUUGCCUCGCGGUUGGUUGAAAAUCGAGUCCUUGGUAGGGUGUGCCAUGAUAGAUGGUGGUCGAGUUAGCACGGGACCGAUCAUGUGCAUGCUCCCCAAAAUAUGGCCUCUGUGACCCACACGCGUCUUUUGACGCUCAUGAUGAGACCUCAGGUCAGGCGGGGCUACCCGCUGAAUUUAAGCAUAUCAAUAAGCGGAGGA
This 392-nucleotide unclassified non-coding RNA is filed under the name soil metagenome. Its description in RNAcentral is "partial contains 5.8S ribosomal RNA, internal transcribed spacer 2, and large subunit ribosomal RNA". The stretch from base 1 to 122 matches the Rfam family "5.8S ribosomal RNA", at positions 35 to 154 of the family's 154-position model. The record is from RNAcentral.